RNAcentral lists this long non-coding RNA (331 nucleotides) under Citrus sinensis (sweet orange). Its description in RNAcentral is "long non-coding RNA (CSIN_LNC003702)". The record is from RNAcentral. Lineage: Eukaryota; Viridiplantae; Streptophyta; Magnoliopsida; Sapindales; Rutaceae.
UGAAAAGACCAUACUUGAAGCUGAUGUUGUUCUUGUGUCUGCUGGCCGGACUCCAUUCACCGCUGGGCUCGGGCUGGAUAAGAUAGGAGUGGAAACCGAUAAGAUGGGACGGAUACCAGUUAAUGAGAGAUUUGCUACAAACAUACCUGGUGUUUAUGCGAUUGGAGACGUAAUUCCAGGACCAAUGUUAGCUCACAAGGCAGAAGAGGAUGGGGUUGCUUGUGUUGAAUUCUUAGCUGGUAAACAUGGCCAUGUGGACUAUGAUAAGGUCCCUGGAGUUGUCUACACACACCCUGAGGUUGCUUCAGUUGGGAAGACUGAGGAGCAGGUA